This 528-nucleotide ribosomal RNA is filed under the name Virgibacillus sp. W369. RNAcentral's name for it is "bacterial SSU rRNA". It matches the Rfam family "Bacterial small subunit ribosomal RNA", at positions 55 to 571 of the family's 1533-position model. Lineage: Bacteria; Bacillati; Bacillota; Bacilli; Caryophanales; Bacillaceae. The record is from RNAcentral.
AAGCAAGCAGAUGGGUUCGGGGUGAUGCUUGUGGAACGAGCGGCGGACCGGUGAGUAACACGUGGGCAACCUGCCUGUAAGAUCGGGAUAACUCGCGGAAACGUGAGCUAAUACCGGAUAAUACUUUUCAUUGCAUAGUGGGAAGUUGAAAGACGGAAUUGCUGUCACUUACAGAUGGGCCCGCGGCGCAUUAGCUAGUUGGUAGGGUAACGGCCUACCAAGGCGACGAUGCGUAGCCGACCUGAGAGGGUCAUCGGCCACAGAGGGACUGAGACACGGCCCAGACUCCUACGGGAGGCAGCAGUAGGGAAUCUUCCGCAAUGGACGAAAGUUAUACGGAGCAACGCCGCGUGAGUGAUGAAGGUCUUCGGAUCGUAAAACUCUGUUGUCAGGGAAGAACAAGUAUGAGAGUAACUGCUCGUACCUUGACGGUACCUGACCAGAAAGCCCCGGCUAACUACGUGCCAGCAGCCGCGGUAAUACGUAGGGGGCAAGCGUUGUCCGGAAUUAUUGGGCGUGUAGUGCGCG